GUCCACGCCGUAAACGAUGGAUACUAGCUGUUGGGCGCAAGUUCAGUGGCUAAGCGAAAGUGAUAAGUAUCCCACCUGGGGAGUACGUUCGCAAGAAUGAAACUCAAAGGAAUUGACGGGGGCCCGCACAAGCGGUGGAGCAUGUGGUUUAAUUCGAUGAUACGCGAGGAACCUUACCAAGGCUUAAAUGUAGAUUGACCGGUUUGGAAACAGAUCUUUCGCAAGACAAUUUACAAGGUGCUGCAUGGUUGUCGU
RNAcentral lists this ribosomal RNA (255 nucleotides) under uncultured bacterium. RNAcentral's name for it is "partial 16S ribosomal RNA". It matches the Rfam family "Bacterial small subunit ribosomal RNA", at positions 793 to 1055 of the family's 1533-position model. The record is from RNAcentral.